CAGGCUGUUUAAAGAGCUG
RNAcentral lists this non-coding RNA (19 nucleotides) under Mus musculus (house mouse). The record is from RNAcentral. Lineage: Eukaryota; Metazoa; Chordata; Mammalia; Rodentia; Muridae.